RNAcentral lists this ribosomal RNA (320 nucleotides) under uncultured Prevotella sp. RNAcentral's name for it is "partial 16S ribosomal RNA". Lineage: Bacteria; Pseudomonadati; Bacteroidota; Bacteroidia; Bacteroidales; Prevotellaceae. The record is from RNAcentral.
GGAGUUUGGUCCGUGUCUCAGUACCAAUGUGGGGGACCUUCCUCUCAGAACCCCUACUGAUCGUUGCCCCGGUGGGCCGUUACCCCGCCGGCAAGCUAAUCAGACGCAUCCCCAUCCCUUACCGAUGAAUCUUUGCUCCUCAUCUGAUGCCAUCAAAGGAGAACAUAGAGUAUUAAUCCGACUUUCGCCGGGCUAUCCUCUAGUACGGGGAAGGUUGGAUACGCGUUACUCACCCGUGCGCCGGUCGCCAUCACAGAUAGCAAGCUACCUGCAUGCUGCCCCUCGACUUGCAUGUGUUAAGCCUGUAGCUAGCGUUCAUC